RNAcentral lists this long non-coding RNA (30547 nucleotides) under Triticum aestivum (bread wheat). RNAcentral describes it as "long non-coding RNA (TAES_LNC027921)". The stretch from base 2548 to 2698 matches the Rfam family "U4 spliceosomal RNA". The record is from RNAcentral. Lineage: Eukaryota; Viridiplantae; Streptophyta; Magnoliopsida; Poales; Poaceae.
GGCAUAGUGGUUCUUUUUUCUGCAGUGGCAUUCUGGUAUGGUGCAUCCAUGUCAUUCUAGAUUUAAUAAUUCUGGCAUGUUACAAUUCUUAAGACACCAUUUGCGAGUCUUGUACUUUUGUAUCGUGAUACGGUUUCUGUUUUGAAAAUGCCGGUGUUCAUUGCCUUCAGGAGGCCCUGUACUUUUUUUGUAUUAUUUCAGUUCCAUGCUGUAAAACUGAUUUCAGGAAACAGUUGUGUCGAACAUGUGAGAAAACAAUGUUGUAAAAUUUGUUUACCUUGCUGUUAGUAGAUACCGCUCAAUCUAUGUUUCUACUGCAUCCUGCUUGUUGUUCUCGAAGAGGCGCAUCCUCGGUCGAGACUGAUUUCCGUGUCCAAGUGAAGCCCUUGCUUGAGUUGAGAGUCCGAGAGGCGGGAUUUGGUAGGUGCUCAACAACUGCAGUGUUUAAUGUGUGAAGAAAAUGUUGUGUUUUAGUAACAGUAGUUUUGAUUCUGGUUUAGGCCGCUGCUGGGGUUUGUAUUUGUACAGCUUUACUGAUCUGUACUGUUUGAGUAGGUUUGGUACCACCCUUAGAAAUGCUGCUGGCUUUGUACAAGCUGCACGUACACAAUUCAUUUUGUGUAUGGUGGGAAUACCAUGAUGGCCAUUUCAAGUGUCGUAUGGAGGGGAGCUCCUAACCGGCGCCUUAAGCGCCGGUUCAGGAAGCUGGCAGUCACACGCCGCACCUCAUGGGCCGGCCCACCACGCGCUGAGGAAGGAAAGCUAGUGACUACAACGAACGUGAAAUGUAUAAGAACCAAUAAAUUAGCGCUAUUUAUUAGAUUUCCUAACUAUUUUAAAAACACUUCAUCAAAUUUUGAAAAAAGUUUACGAAUUAAAAAAAACAGUUCAUUGAUGUUUAAGAAAAGUUCAGUAAAUUAAAAAAAGUUCAUCUAUUUGAAAAAAUUUCAUCCUUCUUUUUUAAAAAUAUUUCAUCGCAUCUAAAAAAAGUUCAAUGAAUUUGAAAAAACGUUCAUCCUUCUUUUUAUAAGAAAAGUUCAUCAAAUCUAAAAAAAGUUCAACGAAAUUGAAAAAAACGUUCAUCCUUCUUUUUUAAAAAAAGUUCAUCAAAUCUAAAAAAAAGUUCAACGAAUUUGAAAAAACAAUCACAAUGGGACUCGAACUCCAGACAUAGCGCUGCAUGCUAACGAAGCUGGCCAGCUGGGAUACUAAUUGUGUACAUCCUAAAAACGGCGUUUGUUUUUAAGUACCAACCCAAAUGGUAGAUCCAGGGUUUUUCAACAUUUUCCAUUAAUUCUUGGAAAAAUUGAAAAUCUUAAAUAUGCGAACAAAUGUUUCGAAUAUCAUACGCAAAUUUCGAAUAUUCCUUUUCUUUUAAAUGUGAACUAUGUUUUUCAAAAGUCAAAAAGUGAACAAGUUUCGAAAAUUGAAUACUUUUUUUGUACUGUGAACAAUUUUUAGAAAGGGAAUUUAGAAUACACAUUGAACAUUUUCUUAUUAUAGGGUGAACAUCAUUCAAAGAGACACUGAACAUUUUUUUUAAAAUACGCUGAACUUUUUUUGAAUGAAUGCUGAACAAAAUUUCUCUACACGAUGAACAUUUUUUUAUACACACUGAACAUUUUUUCAAUGUAUGGUGAACAAUAUUCAAAUACACAUAGAACUUUUUUUUAAAUACGAUGAACUCGUUUUGAAUGCAUGAUGAACAAAAUUUCUAUACACGAUGAAACAUUUUUUUAUACACACUGAACAUUUUUUCAAUGUAUGGUGAACAUUUUUCCUCAAUAUGGUGAACAAAAAUUUGAAAUUCGAAACUAUUUUUGAAACGUGAACAAAAUUCGAAAACAUGAACAAAAUUUGGAAUUUCAAAAAACAUUUUCUGAAAAGGCAAACGAAUUUCGAAAAAUCUGAACAUAUUUUGGAUAUUGAAAAUAGUUCAUCCAAUUCGAAAACAGUUCAUCGAAUUUAAAAAAGUUCACUGAUUUUCAAAAAAAGUUUGUUGAAUUUGAAAAAAAGUUCAUCAAUUUUGAAAAAAGUUCAUGGAAUUUGGUGAGAAAAGUUCAUCGAUUUUGCAAAAAGUUCACCAAAUAUGAAAAAAGUUCAUAAAAUUGAAAAAAAGUUCGUCGAUUUUGAAAAAGGCAGAAAAAGGAAAAAGAAAAAAGAAAAAGAAAAGGCAAAAAGAAAAAACAACAGAAAAAAAGAAAAAAGAAAAACUCGUUAGAAGUAAAGAAGAUAGAGGAAUUAGAUAAUCGUAGAAGGUGGUUUGGCUGUGUUGGUUAGCGCACUCUGCGCGAUUCCUUGUCACUUCGUUUUUUGCAGCAAGUCGGGCUCCCUGGUUUUUGUGGGCCGUGGGAGGCACGGCCUAGCAAGGAUUGCUGCCCCGCUCCUAAUUCAUCGAGUGGGUUUGUUUUGCUCUGUGCAGGGUUAUCUUAGUUUGUACCACAUUGGUUGUGGAGGAAAGAGUGUCAGGGGGGUACGAUCAAAAAAAAAAAAGAGUGUCAGGGGUGGCCGGGUAUAAGAUGGGAUAGCAGGCGAGCCGUUAGAGGCAUCUUUGCGCUUGGGGCAAUGACGCAGCUAGUGAGGUUAUACCGAGGCGCGUCAAUUGCUGGUUGAAAACUAUUUCCAAACCCCCUCUUUGGCCCUCCCGGGCCACUGAGAAUUUCUGAAAGGGCUCCUUUCCUUCGGGGAGGGUAAAGCCCUACAAAUAUGAAGAUGAAAGUAUUUGUUCAGUUUUUUAGCUACAUGGCCUAAGACCAGAGGGAGUACUAGUUUCUUCUCAAACGGGACUUAGUACUGGUUGUUUCUCUCAGAUCAGCGGAUACUGAAGAUAAUGAAAUUUUCAAUGACUUACAGCACGAUUGAUGCUGCCGUUCCACAGAAAUGUAAGCAGAAAUGCACAAACGUAAGCUAGUACGGCUACAGAUGAAGCUGCCGCGGAUCUGUGUACCAUUAGUAACAUCAGUAGCACAAAUGCAAAGCCUCAUCACCGAAAUACUAUAUUGAUUCUGAUGUUACUAAAGCCUGAUCACCGUCGAUGUGCAUGUAGGAUUAGUAGACACCUGUAAGAACAAGAUUACCACACCACCCGUCCUUGUCUCGCCCGUCUGGUUGUGGGUUGUACUAAUGUACUGUUCGGAGACACACGUGGUUUGUUCGCUCUUUGCUGUCAAAAGAGUGAGUAAUGAGAGUUGGGGAACAGGUGAUGCAACUGCCGGAUGAGAAAGCACAUAUCAUCAGUACAGGCCACUGCCAUGGCCUUCUUCUCCCUCUUGCUCCUCCUCCUCCUGCUUCUCGCCGCCCAUGGCGUGUCCCUUUUGAAAGUACUUCACAGACGAUACAGCGCUGAACAACACUCGGACGAUGGCUAAUCCAGCCGUUGGUUGUUGUUUCAGCCUUGCUCAUGGAUGGCGUGAUACGUAUGUCGUGCAUGUAUCGUUUGCUAAAUGUCGUCUAUGUAGCAGUGCUCUGUCCCCUUCACGCGGAGCGACUUCCCACCGGGCCUCGUCUUUGGCGCCACCACCUCCGCAUGCCAGGUGACUGAAUAUUGGUUUGGAUUUAUCAGCUACUCCCUGUCUCCCUCCGUCCUAGACUCCUAGUACAAUAUAAGAAUGUUCUACAAGCCACUAGUGUUAAAAAAAACGUUUUACAUUAUGAUAUCGAGGGAGUAGAAGGGAGUAGCAGCGAUCUCUUACAAAAGUCACUCUGUUUCUCCUGCCCUCAGUGCGCUGCUCUGGUUAAUUUGCUCUGUUUUUUAAUGCAGUACGAGGGCGCUGUUGCUGAGGAUGGCAAGAGCUCAAGCAUCUGAUCUGGGACAACUUCACUCACGCUGGUAAUCAACGAACUUGUCGGUUUCCGUCAGUUUUCAAAACAAAACAAAAAUCUGUUCUCUUCUGACGGGUACUCUAUGAGUUUAUACACUCAAAUUAGCCAAUAUUAGAGCAGGGUAUACACAAAUGAGAGAGUAUAUAAUCAGUUGGUAAGCAACACGUCUUUCUUUCCCAUUUCGCAAGGUAGCUAGGGCAAAGCCUUCUUUCCCUCUACCUCUGUCGGGGAUAUACCCCGCGGUGUAACCCGGCCGUAAGGUAUAACCUGCUGAAAUCUGAGAUGGGCUCUAGGCCCAUAUUGCAAUUUCUGAAAAAUCUCUAAGGGCCCAUGUGAGUUAUAUGGCACUAGGUGUGGUGGGAAGUUUAGUCCCACUCCGGGAAGUGGAAGGAGAGUUGGAGUGGUUUAUAAGGGUUUCUCUUCUACAUGCUAUUGGAGCUUGAGAAGAGAAGAGCCCUCGCGCACUCCUCCUCCGCCGCCCGCCUCGCCACGCCACGCCACGCCUCGUCACGACGCGCCGCGCCGCGGGUUGCGGGAUUGAGCCGAGCCGAGCUCACACCUACGCGCUUAUUUUUGCCAGUCACUAACGGAGAGUUUUCUGACAGCUGGGCCACGAUCUGAGACGUCGGAUCGUGGGGCUGUCACGGACUCGGACGUGGGUCGAGCCCACGUCUCUCCACGCGGCUGCGCCUAUAAGUAUGCGGUGUCUCCUAACCCUAGCCGCCACGAACAGAUCACAUCUGCUCACGCGCACGCCCACCGUCGUUCCUCUGCUGCUGCUGCCGCCGGUGACUCCAUCCCGUCCGCCACGUACACGGUCGACGGGAGAGCAGGUCUCCGAAACCACGCCCUUCUGGUUCCUGUACGGGGUGAGGGGCGAAUAGGUUUUUGAGCAGCGAUUACGCGACUGCUCGCUUCCGAUCGUCUACUUCCUCUACGUUCGCGUCGCCUUCGUCAUCACCAUGUCCACCGACGCCGACCGUGCCGCCGCCGAGAAAGCUGAAGCUGACAAGAAGGUCGCCGAGGACGCCGCUGCUGCCACCAAAGCCGCGGCCUCUGCGUGGCCUACUGGAGGGUAUAACUCGUUUAUCCCGCUCCUGAUUAUUUUCAUAUUAGCAGUACUAGCAGUAUGUGUAGAUUUGUCUACUGUUUGCUUAGUACGUGCAUGUUUAGAUCAGAGUGAGUACGUCAUCAACUUAGUCAAUGCCAUGCUAGUGAUUUACUCAUGGAUUAAUUUAAUCGAGAAAUUGCCUAUUUACUCAACAAUCCAAAAACCUAUCAUGUGUAGGAAUUUCUCGGCAAGUGGCUUUGCCGCUGCACUGAAACCGGAUAAGUUUACCGGUACAUACUUCAAGCGUUGGCAGACUAAGACCACGUUAUGGCUCACGGCUAUGAACGUGUUCUGGGUCACCGGUGUCUCCACGGGAACGAUUGCUCCUGAACAGGAGAAGGCGUUCAAGGAGGCUACCGUUGUGUUUCUCGGAGCAGUUCUUAGCGUGAUCGGAGAUAAACUGGUCGACGCAUAUUUACAUGUGCAUGUCGCCAAGGACUUGUGGGAGGCGCUCGAAUCUAAAUUCGGGGCCGCCGAUGCAGGGAGCGAGAUGUAUAUUAUAGAGCAGUUCCACGAUUACAAGAUGGUUGAAAACCGUCCUGUAUUGGAGCAGGCUCAUGAGAUAAUAUGCAUUGUUAAGGAACUUGAGCUUCUCAAGUGCGAGUUACCAGGCAAGUUUGUCGCGGGCUGCAUAAUCGCUAAGCUCCCUAAUUCCUGGAGGAACUUUGCCACCACUCUGAAACAUCAGAGGCGUGAAUUCUCUGUGGAGGAUGUCAUUGGCCAUCUGAGUGUUGAGCAGAAUUCGAGGGCAAAAGACUCGCACGGAAAAGGGGCCGAAGGGACUUCUGUUGCCAACAUGGUGAACCAGAAGAACUUCAACUCCCACAAGCCCAAGGGAAAGAACGGUGUCCAACACAAUACCGACUUUAAGAAGAAGGGUAAGAAGACCUUCAAGAAGAACAAGAAGGACGAGGGCUGCUUUACUUGUGGUUCGGUUGAACAAUGGGCCAACAAGUGCCCAAACAAGUACAAGAAGUCAGGACAGGACUCCAAGUCUGUCAACAUGAUUGUGGGCAACAAUGAGAAUGGUGCAUCUGGGUACGGUAAUUUAUUUACUGUUUUUUCAGUGUUUCAACCCAACGAUUGGUGGGUGGACACAGGUGCAGGUGUUCAUGUGUGUGCUGACAUUUCAUUGUUCACUUCUUACCAGGUCACAGGUCACGGGUCCGUAUUGAUGGGGAAUGGCGCGAGUGCUUCUGUUCAUGGUGUUGGCACGGUCGAUCUGAAGUUUACUUCGGGAAGGAUCGUGCAGCUGAAGAACGUGCAGCAUGUCCCCGCCAUCAAGAAGAACCUCGUUAGUGGCUCCCUUCUAUGUAGAGAAGGGUUUAAGUUGGUUUUCGAGUCUAAUAAAUUAGUUGUUACAAAAUAUGGACUCUUUGUUGGAAAAGGUUAUGAGAGCGGAGGGAUGUUCCGCCUUUCCCUCGCAGAUUUUUGUAAUAAAGUCGUGAACCAUAGUCAUGUCCUGAAUAAAGUUCCGACAAAGGAUAGUGAGAUCACUCCCUAUUAGAAAUGGGCAAAGAGAAGGACGACACUCUCGUACUUGCGCACUUGGGGCUGUUUGGCGAAAGUCAACGUGCCGAUCCCCAAAAAGCGUAAGCUUGGACAUAAGACCGUGGACUGCAUUAAUUUGGGCUACGCUAAGAACAGCGUUGGCUAUAGAUUUCUAGUAGUGAAAUCUGAGGUACUUGACCAGAAGAUCGGUACAAUUAUGGAGUCUAAGGAUGCUACAUUCUUUGAGGAUAUUUUUCCUAUGAGAGAUAUGCAAAGCACUUCUAGACAGGAAUCUGAGGAGACUCCUGAACCUGCCAUCCCUAUGGAAUAUUAUGAACAAACACAUGAUGAAAAUCCCGAGGAGGAUGACGAGGAAACCCUUGGUAGGGGCAAGAGACAAAGGACUGCAAAGACCUUUGGUGAUGAUUUCUUCGUGUACCUCGUGGAUGAUACUCCCACUUCUAUUUCAGAAGCGUAUGCCUCUCCAGAAGCUGACUACUGGAAGGAUGCGGUCCGUAGCGAGAUGGAUUCCAUCAUGGCUAACGGGACAUGGGAGAUCACUGACCGUCCCUAUGGUUGCAAACCACUGGGAUGUAAGUGGGUGUUCAAAAAGAAGCUUAGGCCCGAUGGUACGAUUGAAAAGUACAAGGCUAGGCUUAUGGCCAAGGGCUAUGACCAGCAAGAAGAGGAAGAUUUCUUUGAUACUUAUUCACCUGUGGCUAGACUGACCACCAUUCGAGUAUUACUCUCGUUGGCGGCCUCACAUGGUCUUCUCGUCCAUCAGAUGGAUGUUAAGACGGCUUUUCUAAAUGGAGAGCUAAAGGAGGAAAUCUACAUGCAACAGCCUGAUGGCUUUGUGAUAGAUGGUCAGGAAAGAAAGGUGUGUAGGUUGAUAAAAUCUUUAUAUGGCCUGAAACAAGCACCUAAGCAAUGGCAUGAUAAGUUUAAUACAACUCUGACAUCUGUUGGUUUCGUAGUUAAUGAGGCUGACAAAUGUGUAUAGUAUCGCCAUGGUGGGGGCGAAGGAGUUAUACUGUGCUUGUAUGUUGAUGACAUACUGAUAUUCGGAACAAACCUCAAAGUCAUUGAGGAGGUCAAAUCGUUUCUAUCUCAGAACUUUGAGAUGAAAGACCUUGGUGUGGCUGAUGUUAUCUUGAACAUCAAGCUACUGAGAGAUAAUGAGGGUGGGAUCACACUUCUGCAAUCCCAUUACGUUGAGAAGGUGUUGAGUCGCUUUGGAUAUUCGGACUGCACACCAUCUCAAACACCAUAUGAUCCUAGCGUAUUGAUUCGAAAGUCCAAAGGCAUGGCUAAAGAUCAAUUGAGAUACUCUCAAAUCAUUGGUUCACUGAUGUACCUAGCGAGCGCAACGAGGCCUGACAUCGCGUUUGCUGUGAGCAAACUGAGCCGGUUUGUUUCCAAACCGGGUGAUGUACAUUGGCAUGCUGUUGAGAGAGUUAUGCGCUAUCUGAAAGGUACUAUGAACUAUGGACUUCACUAUACCGGAUACCCGUCGGUACUUGAAGGGUAUAGUGAUGCGAAUUGGAUCUCUGAUGCUGAUGAGAUGAAGGCCACAACUGGGUAUAUGUUUACUCUUGGAGGUGGCGCUAUUUCCUAGAAGUCUUGCAAGCAAACUAUCUUAACGAGAUCGACAAUGGAAGCAGAAUUAACGGCAUUAGACACAUCUGGUGUUGAAGCGAGAUGGCUUCGAGAUCUUUUGAUGGACUUGCCAUUGGUUGAUAAACCGGUUCCGGCUAUCCUUAUGAACUGUGACAAUCAGACUGUCAUCACCAAGGUGAAGAGUUCAAAGGACAACAUGAAGUCCACCAAACACAUAAGAAUGAGAUUAAAAGCUGUCAGAAAAUUAAGAAACUCCGGAGUGAUAGCGUUGGACUAUGUCCAUACGGCUAAGAAUCUGGCAGAUCCCUUUACAAAAGGGCUAUCACGUGUUGUGAUAGAUAAUGCAUCGAGGGAGAUGGGUAUGAGACCCACAUGAGUUGCCAUGGUGGUAACCCAACCUAUGUGAUCGGAGAUCCCGUGAACUAGGACCUGGGAAAACAAGCCAGUGGUGAACUGAGGAGAGUAACUAUACUAACCCACUCCGUUGGAGAUGCAAUACUCUCGAUACUGUAUGGUAGGANNNNNNNNNNCCGGAUACCCGUCGGUACUUGAAGGGUAUAGUGAUGCGAAUUGGAUCUCUGAUGCUGAUGAGAUGAAGGCCACAACUGGGUAUAUGUUUACUCUUGGAGGUGGCGCUGUUUCCUGGAAGUCUUGCAAGCAAACGAUCUUAACGAGAUCGACAAUGGAAGCAGAAUUAACGGCAUUAGACACAUCUGGUGUUGAAGCGAGAUGGCUUCGAGAUCUUUUGAUGGACUUGCCAUUGGUUGAUAAACCGGUUCCGGCUAUCCUUAUGAACUGUGACAAUCAGACUGUCAUCACCAAGGUGAAGAGUUCAAAGGACAAUAUGAAGUCCACCAAACACAUAAGAAUGAGAUUAAAAGCUGUCAGAAAAUUAAGAAACUCCGGAGUGAUAGCAUUGGACUAUGUCCAUACGGCUAAGAAUCUGGCAGAUCCCUUUACAAAAGGGCUAUCACGUGUUGUGAUAGAUAAUGCAUCGAGGGAGAUGGGUAUGAGACCCACAUGAGUUGCCAUGGUGGUAACCCAACCUAUAUGAUCGGAGAUCCCGUGAACUAGGACCUGGGAAAACAAGCCAGUGGUGAACUGAGGAGAGUAACUAUACUAACCCACUCCGUUGGAGAUGCAAUACUCUCGAUACUGUAUGGUAGGAUGACUACGGUCUCAAUGUGUUCCAAAGCUUAUAAAAGCAAGAUGCUAUCCUACAGAGCGAUCUUUGGAGGAACACACCUAUAUGAGCCCGACUGCUGGUCACAGUCUAUGAGAUUGGGGUGAUCUCUAGUAAGCUCAUGAAUAGGCCAGGAGUGUGACUUAUAUGCUCCACCCGAGGGGUCAGCCUUCGGCAGCCUAGUACUAGUAAGACAUGUAGUGAAACUUCUUUACGCCAAACUGACAAUUCAAGGCAUAGUCCAUUGUUCAGUUGUGAAGGAGUGUAGCCACUUGUUCUAGGUGAAGUUCAACCUUAACAGGUCUUUACUGAAACAUUGGUAUAUCGAAACAGCAAUUGGAACAGAGGACACAAUGGGCCCUCGAGAUCUGGUGGGGGAUUGCUGAAAUCUGAGAUGGGCUCUAGGCCCAUAUUGCAAUUUCUGAAAAAUCUCUAAGGGCCCAUGUGGGUUAUAUGGCACUAGGUGUGGUGGGAAGUUUAGUCCCACCCCGGAAGUGGAAGGAGAGUUGGAGUGGUUUAUAAGGGUUUCUCUUCUACAUGCUAUUGGAGCUUGAGAAGAGAAGAGGCCCUCGCGCACUCCUCCUCCGCCGCCCGCCUCGCCACGCCACGCCUCGUCACGACGCGCCGCGGGUUGCGGGAUUGAGCCGAGCCGAGCUCACACCUACGCGCUUAUUUUUGCCAGUCACUAACGGAGAGUUUUCUGACAGCUGGGCCACGAUCUGAGACGUCGGAUCGUGGACUGUCACGGACUCGGACGUGGGUCGAGCCCACGUCUCUCCACGCGGCUGCGCCUAUAAGUAUGCGGUGUCUCCUAACCCUAGCCGCCACGAACAGAUCACAUCUACUCACGCGCACGCCCACCGUCGUUCCUUUGCUGAUGCUGCCGCCGGUGACUCCAUCUCGUCCGCCACGUACACGGUCAAUGGGAGAGCAGGUCUCCGAAACCACGCCCUUCUGGUUCCUGUACGGGGUGAGGGGCGAAUAGGUUUUUGGGCAGCGAUUACGCGACUGCUCGCUUCCGAUCGUCUACUUCCUCUACGUCUGCGUCGCCUUCAUCAUCACCAUGUCCACCGACGCCGACCGUGCCGCCGCCGAGAAAGCUGAAGCCGACAAGAAGGUCGCCGAGGACGCCGCUGCUGCCACCAAAGCCGCGGCCUCUGCGUGGCCUACUGGAGGGUAUAACUCGUUUAUCCCGCUCCUGAUUAUUUUCAUAUUAGCAGUACUAGCAGUAUGUGUAGAUUUGUCUACUGUUUGCUUAGUACGUGCAUGUUUAGAUCAGAGUCAGUACGUCAUCAACUUAGUCAAUGCCAUGCUAGUGAUUUACUCAUGGAUUAAUUUAAUCGAGAAAUUUCCUAUUUACUCAACAAUCCAAAAACCUAUUAUGUGUAGGAAUUUCUCGGCAAGUGGUUUUGCCGCUGCACUGAAACCGGAUAAGUUUACCGGUACAUACUUCAAGCGUUGGCAUGGCUAAAGAUCAAUUGAGAUACUCUCAAACACCAUAUUUGGAUAUUUGGAUAUUCGGACUGCACACCAUCUCAAACACCAUAUGAUCCUAGCGUAUUGAUUCGAAAGUCCAAAGGCAUGGCUAAAGAUCAAUUGAGAUACUCUCAAAUCAUUGGUUCACUGAUGUACCUAGCGAGCGCAACGAGGCCUGACAUCGCGUUUGCUGUGAGCAAACUGAGCCGGUUUGUUUCCAAACCGGGUGAUGUACAUUGGCAUGCUGUUGAGAGAGUUAUGCGCUAUCUGAAAGGUACUAUGAACUAUGGACUUCACUAUACCGGAUACCCGUCGGUACUUGAAGGGUAUAGUGAUGCGAAUUGGAUCUCUGAUGCUGAUGAGAUGAAGGCCACAACUGGGUAUAUGUUUACUCUUGGAGGUGGCGCUGUUUCCUGGAAGUCUUGCAAGCAAACGAUCUUAACGAGAUCGACAAUGGAAGCAGAAUUAAUGGCAUUAGACACAUCUGGUGUUGAAGCGAGAUGGCUUCGAGAUCUUUUGAUGGACUUGCCAUUGGUUGAUAAACCGGUUCCGGCUAUCCUUAUGAACUGUGACAAUCAGACUGUCAUCACCAAGGUGAAGAGUUCAAAGGACAACAUGAAGUCCACCAAACACAUAAGAAUGAGAUUAAAAGCUGUCAGAAAAUUAAGAAACUCCGGAGUGAUAGCGUUGGACUAUGUCCAUACGGCUAAGAAUCUGGCAGAUCCCUUUACAAAAGGGCUAUCACGUGUUGUGAUAGAUAAUGCAUCGAGGGAGAUGGGUAUGAGACCCACAUGAGUUGCCAUGGUGGUAACCCAACCUAUGUGAUCGGAGAUCCCGUGAACUAGGACCUGGGAAAACAAGCCAGUGGUGAACUGAGGAGAGUAACUAUACUAACCCACUCCGUUGGAGAUGCAAUACUCUCGAUACUGUAUGGUAGGACGACUACGGUCUCAAUGUGUUCCAAAGCUUAUAAAAGCAAGAUGCUAUCCUACAGAGCGAUCUUUGGAGGAACACACCUAUAUGAGCCCGACUGCUGGUCACAGUCUAUGAGAUUGGGGUGAUCUCUAGUAAGCUCAUGAAUAGGCCAGGAGUGUGACUUAUAUGCUCCACCCGAGGGGUCAGCCUUCGGCAGCCUAGUACUAGUAAGACAUGUAGUGAAACUUCUUUACGCCAAACUGACAAUUCAAGGCAUAGUCCAUUGUUCAGUUGUGAAGGAGUGUAGCCACUUGUUCUAGGUGAAGUUCAACCUUAGCAGGUCUUUACUGAAACACUGGUAUACCGAAACAGCAAUUGGAACAGAGGACACAAUGGGCCCUCGAGAUCUGGUGGGGGAUUGCUGAAAUCUGAGAUGGGCUCUAGGCCCAUAUUGCAAUUUCUGAAAAAUCUCUAAGGGCCCAUGUGGGUUAUAUGGCACUAGGUGUGGUGGGAAGUUUAGUCCCACCCCGGAAGUGGAAGGAGAGUUGGAGUGGUUUAUAAGGGUUUCUCUUCUACAUGCUAUUGGAGCUUGAGAAGAGAAGAGGCCCUCGCGCACUCCUCCUCCGCCGCCCGCCUCGCCACGCCACGCCUCGUCACGACGCGCCGCGGGUUGCGGGAUUGAGCCGAGCCGAGCUCACACCUACGCGCUUAUUUUUGCCAGUCACUAACGGAGAGUUUUCUGACAGCUGGGCCACGAUCUGAGACGUCGGAUCGUGGACUGUCACGGACUCGGACGUGGGUCGAGCCCACGUCUCUCCACGCGGCUGCGCCUAUAAGUAUGCGGUGUCUCCUAACCCUAGCUGCCACGAACAGAUCACAUCUGCUCACGCGCACGCCCACCGUCGUUCCUUUGCUGCUGCUGCCGCCGGUGACUCCAUCCCGUCCGCCACGUACACGGUCGACGGGAGAGCAGGUCUCCGAAACCACGCCCUUCUGGUUCCUGUACGGGGUGAGGGGCGAAUAGGUUUUUGGGCAGCGAUUACGCGACUGCUCGCUUCCGAUCGUCUACUUCCUCUACGUCCGCGUCGCCUUCAUCGUCACCAUGUCCACCGACGCCGACCGUGCCGCCGCCGAGAAAGCUGAAGCCGACAAGAAGGUCGCCGAGGACGCCGCUGCUGCCACCAAAGCCGCGGCCUCUGCGUGGCCUACUGGAGGGUAUAACUCGUUUAUCCCGCUCCUGAUUAUUUUCAUAUUAGCAGUACUAGCAGUAUGUGUAGAUUUGUCUACUGUUUGCUUAGUACGUGCAUGUUUAGAUCAGAGUCAGUACAUCAUCAACUUAGUCAAUGCCAUGCUAGUGAUUUACUCAUGGAUUAAUUUAAUCGAGAAAUUGCCUAUUUACUCAACAAUCCAAAAACCUAUUAUGUGUAGGAAUUUCUCGGCAAGUGGUUUUGCCGCUGCACUGAAACCGGAUAAGUUUACCGGUACAUACUUCAAGCGUUGGCAGACUAAGACCACGUUAUGGCUCACGGCUAUGAACGUGUUCUGGGUCACCGGUGUCUCCACGGGAACGAUUGCUCCUGAACAGGAGAAGGCGUUCAAGGAGGCUACCGUUGUGUUUCUCGGAGCAGUUCUUAGCGUGAUCGGAGAUAAACUGGUCGACGCAUAUUUACAUGUGCAUGUCGCCAAGGACUUGUGGGAGGCGCUCGAAUCUAAAUUCGGGGCCGCCGAUGCAGGGAGCGAGAUGUAUAUUAUAGAGCAGUUCCACGAUUACAAGAUGGUUGAAAACCGUCCUGUAUUGGAGCAGGCUCAUGCGAUAAUAUGCAUUGUUAAGGAACUUGAGCUUCUCAAGUGCGAGUUACCGGGCAAGUUUGUCGCGGGCUGCAUAAUCGCUAAGCUCCCUAAUUCCUGGAGGAACUUUGCCACCACUCUGAAACAUCAGAGGCGUGAAUUCUCUGUGGAGGAUGUCAUUGGCCAUCUGAGUGUUGAGCAGAAUUCGAGGGCAAAAGACUCGCACGGAAAAGGGGCCGAAGGGACUUCUGUUGCCAACAUGGUGAACCAGAAGAACUUCAACUCCCACAAGCCCAAGGGAAAGAACGGUGUCCAACACAAUACCGACUUUAAGAAGAAGGGUAAGAAGACCUUCAAGAAGAACAAGAAGGACGAGGGCUGCUUUACUUGUGGUUCGGUUGAACAUUGGGCCAACAAGUGCCCAAACAAGUACAAGAAGUCAGGACAGGACUCCAAGUCUGUCAACAUGAUUGUGGGCAACAAUGAGACUGGUGCAUCUGGGUACGGUAAUUUAUUUACUGUUUUUUCAGUGUUUCAACCUAACGAUUGGUGGGUGGACACAGGUGCAGGUGUUCAUGUGUGUGCUGACAUUUCAUUGUUCACUUCUUACCAGGUCACAGGUCACGGGUCCGUAUUGAUGGGGAAUGGCGCGAGUGCUUCUGUUCAUGGUGUUGGCACGGUCGAUCUGAAGUUUACUUCGGGAAGGAUCGUGCAGCUGAAGAACGUGCAGCAUGUCCCCGCCAUCAAGAAGAACCUCGUUAGUGGCUCCCUUCUAUGUAGAGAAGGGUUUAAGUUGGUUUUCGAGUCUAAUAAAUUAGUUGUUACAAAAUAUGGACUCUUUGUUGGAAAAGGUUAUGAGAGCGGAGGGAUGUUCCGCCUUUCCCUCGCAGAUUUUUGUAAUAAAGUCGUGAACCAUAUUCAUUCGAAUGUUAAUGAAUCUGAAGUUUGGCAUUCACGUCUUUGUCACAUUAGUUUUGGUGUUAUGACGCGGCUAGCCAAGUUGGAUUUAAUCCCGAGUUUCACUUUAGCCAAAGGUUCUCAGUGCCUUUCAUGUGUGCAAGCUAAGCAACCUCGCAAGCCUCAUAAGGCCGCGGAGGAGAGACACCUGGCACCAUUAGAACUCAUACAUUCUGAUCUUUGCGAGAUGAAUGGUGUGUUGACUAAAGGUGGAAAGAGAUACUUCAUGACAUUGAUAGAUGAUUCCACUAGAUAUUGCUAUGUGUAUCUGUUAAAUACUAAAGAUGAGGCUCUACACUACUUUAAAAUCUAUAAGGCAGAAGUUGAAAAUCAACUUGAAAAGAAAAUUAAACGAGUCCGGUCAGAUCGUGGUGGAGAGUACUUCUCGAGUGAGUUUGAUUCCUUCUGUGCGGAACACGACAUUAUUCAUGAGAGGACGCCUCCCUAUUCACCCCAGUCAAACGGGGUUGCCGAGCGGAAAAACCGUACUCUAACUGAUUUGGUUAACGCCAUGUUAGAUACAUCGGGUUUAUCCAAGGCAUGGUGGGGGGAGGCUAUAUUGACGGCAUGUCAUGUCCUGAAUAAAGUUCCGACAAAGGAUACUGAGAUCACUCCCUAUGAGAAAUGGGCAAAGAGAAGGACGACACUCUCGUACUUGCGCACUUGGGGCUGUUUGGCGAAAGUCAACGUGCCGAUCCCCAAAAAGCGUAAGCUUGGACAUAAGACCGUGGACUGCAUUAAUUUGGGCUACGCUAAGAACAGCGUUGGCUAUAGAUUUCUAGUAGUGAAAUCUGAGGUACCUGACCAGAAGAUCGGUACAAUUAUGGAGUCUAAGGAUGCUACAUUCUUUGAGGAUAUUUUUCCUAUGAGAGAUAUGCAAAGCACUUCUAGACAGGAAUCUGAGGAGACUCCUGAACCUGCCAUCCCUAUGGAAUAUUAUGAACAAACACAUGAUGAAAAUCCCGAGGAGGAUGACGAGGAAACCCUUGGUAGGGGCAAGAGACAAAGGACUGCAAAGACCUUUGGUGAUGAUUUCUUCGUGUACCUCGUGGAUGAUACUCCCACUUCUAUUUCAGAAGCGUAUGCCUCUCCAGAAGCUGACUACUGGAAGGAUGCGGUCCGUAGCGAGAUGGAUUCCAUCAUGGCUAAAGGGACAUGGGAGAUCACUGACCGUCCCUAUGGUUGCAAACCACUGGGAUGUAAGUGGGUGUUCAAAAAGAAGCUUAGGCCCGAUGGUACGAUUGAAAAGUACAAGGCUAGGCUUGUGGCCAAGGGCUAUGACCAGCAAGAAGAGGAAGAUUUCUUUGAUACUUAUUCACCUGUGGCUAGACUGACCACCAUUCGAGUAUUACUCUCGUUGGCGGCCUCACAUGGUCUUCUCGUCCAUCAGAUGGAUGUUAAGACGGCUUUUCUAAAUGGAGAGCUAAAGGAGGAAAUCUACAUGCAACAGCCUGAUGGCUUUGUGAUAGAUGGUCAGGAAAGAAAGGUGUGUAGGUUGAUAAAAUCUUUAUAUGGCCUGAAACAAGCACCUAAGCAAUGGCAUGAUAAGUUUAAUACAACUCUGACAUCUGUUGGUUUCGUUGUUAAUGAGGCUGACAAAUGUGUAUACUAUCGCCAUGGUGGGGGCGAAGGAGUUAUACUGUGCUUGUAUGUUGAUGACAUACUGAUAUUCGGAACAAACCUCAAAGUCAUUGAGGAGGUCAAAUCGUUUCUAUCUCAGAACUUUGAGAUGAAAGACCUUGGUGUGGCUGAUGUUAUCUUGAACAUCAAGCUACUGAGAGAUACUGAGGGUGGGAUCACACUUCUGCAAUCCCAUUACGUUGAGAAGGUGUUGAGUCGUUUUGGAUAUUCGGACUGCACACCAUCUCAAACACCAUAUGAUCCUAGCGUGUUGAUUCGAAAGUCCAAAGGCAUGGCUAAAGAUCAAUUGAGAUACUCUCAAAUCAUUGGUUCACUGAUGUACCUAGCGAGCGCAACGAGGCCUGACAUCGCGUUUGCUGUGAGCAAACUGAGCCGGUUUGUUUCCAAACCGGGUGAUGUACAUUGGCAUGCUGUUGAGAGAGUUAUGCGCUAUCUGAAAGGUACUAUGAACUAUGGACUUCACUAUACCGGAUACCCGUCGGUACUUGAAGGGUAUAGUGAUGCGAAUUGGAUCUCUGAUGCUGAUGAGAUGAAGGCCACAACUGGGUAUAUGUUUACUCUUGGAGGUGGCGCUGUUUCCUGGAAGUCUUGCAAGCAAACGAUCUUAACGAGAUCGACAAUGGAAGCAGAAUUAACGGCAUUAGACACAUCUGGUGUUGAAGCGAGAUGGCUUCGAGAUCUUUUGAUGGACUUGCCAUUGGUUGAUAAACCGGUUCCGGCUAUCCUUAUGAACUGUGACAAUCAAACUGUCAUCACCAAGGUGAAGAGUUCAAAGGACAACAUGAAGUCCACCAAACACAUAAGAAUGAGAUUAAACGCUGUUAGAAAAUUAAGAAACUCCGGAGUGAUAGCGUUGGACUAUGUCCAUACGGCUAAGAAUCUGGCAGAUCCCUUUACAAAAGGGCUAUCACGUGUUGUGAUAGAUAAUGCAUCGAGGGAGAUGGGUAUGAGACCCACAUGAGUUGCCAUGGUGGUAACCCAACCUAUAUGAUCGGAGAUCCCGUGAACUAGGACCUGGGAAAACAAGCCAGUGGUGAACUGAGGAGAGUAACUAUACUAACCCACUCCGUUGGAGAUGCAAUACUCUCGAUACUGUAUGGUAGGAUGACUACGGUCUCAAUGUGUUCCAAAGCUUAUAAAAGCAAGAUGCUAUCCUACAGAGCGAUCUUUGGAGGAACACACCUAUAUGAGCCCGACUGCUGGUCACAGUCUAUGAGAUUGGGUGAUCUCUAGUAAGCUCAUGAAUAGGCCAGGAGUGUGACUUAUAUGCUCCACCCGAGGGGUCAGCCUUCGGCAGCCUAGUACUAGUAAGACAUGUAGUGAAACUUCUUUACGCCAAACUGACAAUUCAAGGCAUAGUCCAUUGUUCAGUUGUGAAGGAGUGUAGCCACUUGUUCUAGGUGAAGUUCAACCUUAACAGGUCUUUACUGAAACACUGGUAUAUUGAAACAGCAAUUGGAACAGAGGACACAAUGGGCCCUCGAGAUCUGGUGGGGGAUUGCUGAAAUCUGAGAUGGGCUCUAGGCCCAUAUUGCAAUUUCUGAAAAAUCUCUAAGGGCCCAUGUGGGUUAUAUGGCACUAGGUGUGGUGGGAAGUUUAGUCCCACCCCGGAAGUGGAAGGAGAGUUGGAGUGGUUUAUAAGGGUUUCUCUUCUACAUGCUAUUGGAGCUUGAGAAGAGAAGAGCCCUCGCGCACUCCUCCUCCGCCGCCCGCCUCGCCACGCCACGCCACGCCUCGUCACGACGCGCCGCGGGUUGCGGGAUUGAGCCGAGCCGAGCUCACACCUACGCGCUUAUUUUUGCCAGUCACUAACGGAGAGUUUUCUGACAGCUGGGCCACGAUCUGAGACGUCGGAUCGUGGGGCUGUCACGGACUCGGACGUGGGUCGAGCCCACGUCUCUCCACGCGGCUGCGCCUAUAAGUAUGCGGUGUCUCCUAACCCUAGCCGCCACGAACAGAUCACAUCUGCUCACGCGCACGCCCACCGUCGUUCCUCUGCUGCUGCUGCCGCCGGUGACUCCAUCCCGUCCGCCACGUACACGGUCGACGGGAGAGCAGGUCUCCGAAACCACGCCCUUCUGGUUCCUGUACGGGGUGAGGGGCGAAUAGGUUUUUGGGCAGCGAUUACGCGACUGCUCGCUUCCGAUCGUCUACUUCCUCUACGUCCGCGUCGCCUUCGUCAUCACCAUGUCCACCGACGCCGACCGUGCCGCCGCCGAGAAAGCUGAAGCUGACAAGAAGGUCGCCGAGGACGCCGCUGCUGCCACCAAAGCCGCGGCCUCUGCGUGGCCUACUGGAGGGUAUAACUCGUUUAUCCCGCUCUUGAUUAUUUUCAUAUUAGCAGUACUAGCAGUAUGUGUAGAUUUGUCUACUGUUUGCUUAGUACGUGCAUGUUUAGAUCAGAGUGAGUACGUCAUCAACUUAGUCAAUGCCAUGCUAGUGAUUUACUCAUGGAUUAAUUUAAUCGAGAAAUUGCCUAUUUACUCAACAUAACCCGGCCGGACUUGACGAUUCACUAAUGACCCACCCUAACUGGACGACGCACUAAGUGGCCCGCCCAAUCCUGGCGACUUAUGGGUGACCUGGCAAGCGGAUCAGAGGAGCGACAAGACCCGGGGGCCCAGGAGGCUCAAGGCCCAGAAGGCCGGCUUACGUUAUGAUAGGCCGGCUUAAGAGGAAAGGCGUAAGGAGUAUCUCCCUUACAAGGAAUCAAGACCCGGACUUGUAUCCGGCUUGUAGUACAAGAUAGGCUAGUCCUACUAGGACUCCACAUGUAACCCGCCCCUCUAACUUAUAUAAGGAGGGGAGGGCUCCCCAAAGAGGAAAAAAGCAACAAGAAAUAAUAUCUAGGGCUAGACACAAAGGGGGAGCCGGCUUACGGCGACUCUUCUCAUGAGCAUAAUGAGACCUGGCCACAAACAACAUGUAGGGUUGUUACCGGAUGAUGUUUCCCGGGGCCCGAAGCUGUCUAAAUCCUUGUCUUGCGUGUUGCGUUACUCGUCCCGAUCAACCCCUCGCUACCACAUAGAUGCGUUGGCCUCGCGAUUAAGUCUUGACACUAAGGACAUCUGACGUGUUGAUUCCACGACAACCUUCAUUGUUGAUCCCGUGGAUUCGCCUCUCCUCUGCCUACUGCUUCGGUGGUCGGCGGGGGCAGAGGGAUCUUGAUGUCUCGCUUUCGGCUAGUAGAUAGGUUAUGGUUUUAGCCCUUGCAGGGCGACACUUGAACAUAUGGUGUCUCUUAUUCUUCGAGUCGGUCAUCGGGCUUUGAUCUUUCUCAAGUUUGUUAGUCGAAACGGAUUAGACGGAGCUUCGGUGUGGAUUUCUGUCAGCUCCUCGGGACAACGAGGUUAGGGUUACUUGUCAUGCAUAUACGGAGGCAAGAUUUGUAGUCAGGUUCCCUAGAUCGAUUCAAGGGUUCAACGACGACGACUGUGGCUCCGAGCUGCUGGUCCUAGGGCCACAUGCAUAAAGGCUUCCUGGCUGUCAUCGACAUGGUCAGUCCAGCUCCGGUAUGAGAGGGCCAUUGAGGCGCGUCAGCGGCAAGGUGAUCCAGGAAUAUUGAUGCACUUUUUUUUUAUUAUAUUUGAUGAAGUGCUUUAUAUUUCUUGUAAACUUUUAUAAUAAUAAUAGAUCCUAAUCUAUUUUUUGCGGCAAAAAAAGGGUUAGCUUCGGCUAAACUGGCCCUCCCCGCGACCACGUCGUCCCCGCGGGCGAUCGGUCGCGCCUCGCCACCCCUCCCAGCGAGCGUUCCCCUUCUCCUCCUCCUCCCCGCCGCCGUCACUGGCGCGCGUCUCGGGCCUGGCCCGGGCGACGCUGGCGGCGGCGGCCCCUCGGCCUUUCCCCUCCCAGGGUUCUUCCGGCGCGGGACGGGGCGACUCCNNNNNNNNNNNNNNNNNNNNNNNNNNNNNNNNNNNNNNNNNNNNNNNNNNNNNNNNNNNNNNNNNNNNNNNNNNNNNNNNNNNNNNNNNNNNNNNNNNNNNNNNNNNNNNNNNNNNNNNNNNNNNNNNNNNNNNNNNNNNNNNNNNNNNNNNNNNNNNNNNNNNNNNNNNNNNNNNNNNNNNNNNNNNNNNNNNNNNNNNNNNNNNNNNNNNNNNNNNNNNNNNNNNNNNNNNNNNNNNNNNNNNNNNNNNNNNNNNNNNNNNNNNNNNNNNNNNNNNNNNNNNNNNNNNNNNNNNGUCGUUGACGACGGGGUAGCGCGGUGGCGCGGGCUGGCGGCGCUCGCCCGACCCAGAUCUGGACCCUUCGGGUCCCAUCUGGGCCGGGGCGGCCCGGCAUCGGGCGUGGCGUCUGCGGGGCUCUCGGGCGACGGUGGUGAGGUGUCCGGCUGGUGGCGGGCGGCGGCUUCGGCUGCCGGCGUGCAGCAGCGCCGUGGCUAGGGCUUUGCUGUCCCGCUAUGGGCCCUGCCAGGCCCGGGUGGCCUGGUUUGCCCUGGCUGCGGCGCCCGGUCGGCAAUCCGCAUCGGUGCGGGAGGCAGAGGCCUCCUGCGCGAUGGCGGUGGAGGCGGUUCCCUCCCGUUCGGCUCUGGUGCUCCCGUCCGUGCCAUCUAGGUGCAUCUCGCCUCUGUUUGCUUGUCCUCGUGGUGGUGCUCGCAGCAAGACGGCGUGGAUGGGUCCAAGACUGUGGUGGCACGUGCUGGCGGGUGGCAAGACGGUGGUUUGGCUCCAUUCUAGUGGGUGCCGGGGCAUGGGGGUGCGGGAGAAAUCUCUGCCGGCUCUUCCGGCUCCGACGUGGUGACGCCGGUGGGUUCCGCCAUUCCUUCCUGAAGGGCGUCGGUGCUACCCAUCCCCCGUUCCCCUUUUGCGUGUCGGGGGAAACCCUAGGACUUGUCCGGACAGCAGCGUUAUUGGCGUCGCAUUCCUUCUUGGAGGGCUCUUACAAAAUUCACUCUGUUUCUUCCGCCCCCAGUGCCCUGCUCUGGUUAAUUUGAUCUGUUAUUUAAUGCAGUAGGAGGGCGCUGUUGCGGAGGAUGGCAAGAGCCCAAGCAUCUGAUCUGGGACAACUUCACUCACGCAGGUAAUCAACGAACUUGUCGGUCUCCGUCAGUUUUCAAAACAAAACACAAAUAUGUUCGCUUCUGAUGGGUACUUUGUGAUUUUAUACACUCAAAUUAGCCAAUAUUAGAGCAGGGUAUACACAAAUGAGAGAGUAUAUAAUCAGUUGGUAAGCAACAUGUCUUUCUAUCCAUUUCGCAAGGUAGCUAGGGCAAAGCCUUCCUUCCCUCUAUCUCCAUUGUUGAUCCUGUGGAUUCGCCUCUCCUCUGCCCACCGCUUCGGUGGUCGGCGGGGGCAGAGGGAUCUUGAUGUCUCGCUUUCGGCUAGUAGAUAGGUUAUGGUUUUAGCCCUUGCAGGGCGACACUUGAACAUAUGGUGUCUCUUAUUCUUCGAGUCAGUCAUCGGGCUUCGAUCUUCCUCAAGUUCGUUCUUCGAAACGGAUUAGACGGAGCUUCGGUGUGGAUUUCUGUCAGCUCCUCGGGACAACGAGGUUAGGGUUACUUGCCAUGCAUACACGGAGGCAAGAUUUGUAGUCAGGUUCCCUAGAUUGAUUCAAGGGUUCAACGACGACGAUGACGACGACUGUGGCUCCUGGGCGUUGCUCCUAGAGCCACAUGCAUAAAGACUUUCUUGUCUGUCCCCGAUAAGGUUAUUUCAACUUUUGUAUCAGAGAGCCACUGAGGAGCGUCAACGGCAAGGUGAUCCAGGAAUAUCAAUGUAUCUUUUGUUAUUAUAUGUUUGAAGUGCUUUAUACUUCUGUAAACUUUUAUAAUACUCCAUAUCCUAAUGUUUUUUGGCAAAAAUAAUUAGUUGGUGGAGUUUGAAAGUAGAGUUGGCUUUGCCAACAACCAAUCCGACAACUUGUUGACAUAACGUGUCACGGUUUCUUGCGCACUAGACCACAAGUAGGAUAGGAUAGGAGCGUACCAACCGUAUAAUUUCCCGGGAAUCUUUGGUUUCUUAAACUUAAUAAUAAAAUCAAAAAAGAAAAGAAAAGAAAAGAAGACAGGACAAUAACCAAAGACUUGACUUCCCCCCGAGGUGCCUUCGGAGAAGAAACAAAACCACGGACCUGCAGCGGGUCAAGGUCUCCUCCUCCUCCUCCUCACACCACGGAGCUCCAUUGCGACCAACAGGUGCACACACGCUCUUCCUUAUCUUAGCUUAGAUUCCGUCUCUGCUGGGAGGCCUCUGGCCGCCCGGGCUGCGCAGGCGCGGCGGAGGAGGCCGCACUUUGUGCUCCUGGAUCUGGCAGCCGGACCUAGGUUGUCGCGUGGAAAUGGCAAAUCCAGUCCCCGUAUCAGGGUGACAUGCCAUUCUGAUCCGAUUUCUGCUCCUGAGCAUAAAUAAAUACUCAUCCCCUCUUCUUCCAUGCUGCAGAGUCAACCAACUAUCUCCUGAUGUGAUUGUCAAGUUUCAUCUUUGGAUGAGAGCUGUGUCCCCCGUGCUUGUUGAUGCCAAAUCGCUAACCCGUGGUCAAUCUUUCCUGUCAGUUGCGCACGCUGCUCGGCCCCCAACCUAUUCUGCUUGACUGACUGAACAGUUGUUUUGUCACCAGGUAAUGAUUUUGAUUGUGCUCAGUUUCCCUCAAAAAAGAUAAAAAAUUGAUUUUGACUGAAUAUGCACCAUGUCAGAUUAGUUCAUUCACAGCUUGCAAGUUUCCCAACACAACUAAAAUCGCAUGUUGAACAACCAACUACCUUCCCAGAAACCACAUACCAUGUAAUUAGCACUCUCCUUGUAUAAUUAUUAGUACCCUCUCCUUCGAAGAAGCACACUUCUAGCAUUUUUCUGACCUGUAUAACAACUGCAACUAUUUUGUUCCAUAAUAAGCAUUAGAGUUGCAUAGUUGAUACAACUAUAUUCAAGUCAAGAGUGUCAAGUCAUGCAAACGUGCGUGUAGUACUAUGUAUUAACAUGUCUUAAAUCUUUCCUUCCUUCAUGCUACGGUUUAUCAGGCCCAUGAGCAAAACUCUAUAUCUCUUUUCUUAUCACGGACCCUGUUAGUACUUUUGUCUGAUUAUCUCAGUGUCAGUCUGUCAGACGACAAAAAGUGUUGAUUAUACAUAUUUAUCUAGUACUGGUAGUACAUUGACACCAGGUAUCUUCUCCCAUGAUACAUUAAUAAAAAAAAUUCUUAAAUAUCAACAGAGCUACUCGUUCCAUCCAUGCACGAAACCAGUGGAGUAAUGUCAACAAACCUAUAAAUUUUCAGUUCGAAAACUAGUGGAAGUAAAACAACCAUUGGAGAAAGUUUCUCUCUGUUCAUACAAGCUAAGCUAACUCUCGACUUAAUUUUCUUGGAUGAAAUUGGUUAUUGCCCCAUUUAACAUAUUGAUCUAUAUUUAUUUUGUUCAGGACAAAUGGCGGAGGCGGUGCUCGUUGCUCUCGGAAAGAUUGGGAAUGUCUUAGCUGAUGAAGCUACCAAGGCUUUGCUGGCCAAGCUGUCAGAAAAAGUUAGUAAUCUGAUUGAUCUGGAUGACAAGAUUGAGGGAAUAGCGAAGCAAUUAAAUACAAUGAAGAACGUCAUACAGCAGAUAGGCACGCCGUACCUAGCCGACAAAGUCGUAAAGGGUUGGAUUGGGGAGGUGAGGAAGUUGGCCUACCAUGUUGAGGAUGUGAUGGACAAAUACUCAUAUCACUCUCUUCAUGUGGAAAAAGGGUUUCUGAAGAAGUGCCUCAAAGGAUCACAUUAUGUCCGGGUUUUUAGUCAAAUUGCCGAUGAGGUAGUCAAGAUAGAGAAGGAGAUAAAGCAAGUUAUCGGACUCAAGGAGCAAUGGCUGCAACCAUCCCAGCUUGUUCAUGACCCGUGCACUGAGAUGGAAAGACAACGGUCCCAAGAUAUCUUCCCUGAACUUGUGAAAGAUGAAGAUCUUAUUGGAAUUGAAGAUAACAGGAGAAUGAUGACUGAAUGGUUGUACUCGGAUGAGAUGGAGACUACGGUGAUAACGGUGUCGGGUAUGGGUGGGUUGGGAAAAACAACCCUCGUCACAAAUGUGUAUGAACGUGAAAAGAUCAACUUCCAAACAAGUGCGUGGAUGGUUGUGUCUCAGACCUACAGUUUGGAUGCUCUGUUGAGGAAGUUACUCGAGAAGGUUACCGAACAACCAUCAUCACCUAACAUUGACAGGAUGGAUGUGCAUGACUUGAAGGAAGAAAUAAAGCGAAAGCUUAAAGAUAGGAAAUGUUUAAUUGUAUUGGAUGAUGUCUGGAACAAGGAAGUGUACUCUCAAAUGCGAGAUGCAUUCCAGAAUUCUCAUGCAAGUCGCAUCAUCAUCACAACGCGGAACAAUCAUGUUGCUGCUGUUGCUCACUUGACACGCCGUAUCGUUCUCAAGCCUUUGGGGAAUGCUCACGCAUUCGAACUCUUCUGCAGGAGGGUCUUUUAUAUCAAGAAGGACCAUGAGUAUGAGUGUCCCAAUCAUCUCAUGAAAACUGCUAGGUCUAUAGUUGAUAGAUGUCAGGGUCUGCCACUAGCAAUUUUAUCAAUAGGUGGUGUUUUGUCUUCGAGGCCACAAACACAAUACUCUUGGGAGCAGAUAUACAAUCAACUCUCAACUGAGCUGUCGAAGAAUGAUCAUCUCCGGGCAGUUUUAAAUCUGAGCUACCAUGACCUAUCUGGAGACCUCAGAAACUGCCUUUUGUAUUGCAGCCUUUUCCCGGAAGACUACCCGAUGUCACGUGAGAGCCUUGUGAGGCUGUGGGUUGCAGAAGGCUUUGUGUGUAGCAAAGGAAAUAGCACCCCGGAGGAGGUGGCCGAGGGAAACCUGACGGAACUGAUAUACCGCAAUAUGCUUGAAGUCAAGGAGACAGAUGAACUGGGAAGGGUGAGCACCUGUACGAUGCAUGAUAUUGUGCGAGACCUGGCUCUUUGUGUUGCAAGCGAGGAGCAGUUUGUAUGUGCAAAUGAUUAUGCCACAUUGAUACAUAUGAAUAAGGAUGUUCGUCGUCUGUCAUCAUGUGGAUGGAAAGGCAAUACUGCACUGAAAAUUAAGCUUCCCCGUCUUCGAACUCUAGUGUCAGUAGGAGCAAUUUCAUCCAUGCCUGCCAUGCCGUUCUCAGUUUCGUCAGAAUCCAGCUACCUGACUGUCCUCGAGCUACAAGACUCUGAAAUCACUGAAGUGCCGGCAUGGAUAGGUACACUCUUCAAUUUACAUUACAUUGGCUUACGCCGCACCAAGGUGAGGUCACUCCCAGACUCUGUUGAGAAACUAUCGAACCUGCAAACUCUGGACAUCAAGCAAACUAACAUAGAGACCCUACCAAGAGGGAUUGCUAAGAUCAAGAAUCUACGGCACCUCUUAGCUGAUAGAUAUGCUGAUGAGAAGCAGACGGAGUUUCGAUACUUUGUCGGAAUUCAAGCACCGAAAGAACUGCCCAACAUUGAAGGGCUGCAGACUCUUGAGACCAUCCAAGCCAACAAAGACUUGGCUGAGCAGCUGGAGAGAAUGGUGCAAUUGCGAACUCUGUGGAUUGACAACAUAAGUUCUGCUGAAUGCGCAACUAUUUUUGCUGCCCUGUCAAAUAUGCCGCUUCUUUCCAGUCUGCUUCUUGCUGGAAGAGAUGAGAACGAGGCACUUUGUUUCGAGUCCCUCCAGCCAAUGUCCACACAUCUCCACAAGCUGAUCAUCAGAGGGAAAUGGGCCAAGGGAACGCUGGAGUGCCCGAUAUUCCGCAGCCACGGAGAAAAUCUCAAGUAUCUAGCUCUAAGCUGGUGUCACCUUUGGGAAGACGAGGAUCCACUGGGGAUGCUUGCACCACACUUGCCAAACCUCACAUAUCUGCGGCUCAACAACAUGCGCAGUGCAAACAUUUUGGUUCUUUCUGCAGAUUCCUUCCCUCACCUGAAGAGCCUUACACUGAAGCACAUGCAUAAUGUCAACGAGCUAAAGAUCAUCGAUGGCGCCCUUCCGAGCAUCGAAGGUUUGUAUGUCGUGUCAUUGUCGAAGCUGGAUAAGGUCCCUCAAGGCAUUGAAUCCCUUAGUUCCCUGAAGAAGCUCUGGCUGCUGGGCUUGCACGGGGGCUUCAAAGCUCAGUGGGACAAGAACGGAAUGCAGCAGAAGAUGGUGCAUGUUCAGGAGCUUCGUGUCUGAAUGUGGCACAGCGGUUCUUUCUGCAGUGGCUUUAAUCAUUCUGGUAUGUUAUAAUUAUUAAGACAUCAUUUGCGAGCCUUGUACUUCUAUAUCGUGAUACGAUUUCUGUUUUCAGGAGGCCCUGUAUUUCAGUUUGAUGCUGUAAUACUGAUUUCAGGAAACAGUUGUGUCGAACAUGUGAGAAAACAAUGUUGUGGAAUUUGUUUACCUUGUUGUUAGUAGAUACCGCCCGAUCUAUGUUUCUGCUGCAUCCUGGUUGUCGUUCUCGAAGAGGCACAUCCUCGACCGAUACUGAUUUCCGUGUCCAAGUGAAGCCCCUGCUCGAGUUGAGAGUCCGAGAGGCGGGAUUUUGUAGGAGCUCAACUCAAAAACUGCUGUGUUUUAUGUGAAGAAAAUGUUUUUUUUAGUAGCAGUUGUUUUAAUUCCGGUUUAGGCCGCUGCCUGGAGUUUGUACAGCUUUACUGAUCCUUCAUAGGUUGUACCCUGUACAUCAGUAGCACAAAUGCCAAGCCUGAUCACCGAGUCUGGAGUUAAGCUCUGGUCAGGGGAAAAAAAUGCCCUUUAAUUUCUUAGUCCUCUCAGGUUGACUGGGGAGCUGUUCUUUGACGUAAUGCCCAUGAAAAAGAGUUUCAUAAAUUUUAUUCGCCAUGGCAACACAAAAGAGCCGCUUCGGUGCAUCCUCUAAUCGAAUCAACGGUGGAGAGUAAAACAUACGCCUAGAUAUCUUAGGUACACUGCCGAUGUGCAUGUAGGAUUAUUAGACACUUGUAAGCACAAGAUUAUCUCACCACCCGUCCAUGUGCUUCAACAGUCGGAUUUGAUGGACACACGUGGUUUGGUCACUCGUUGCUGUCAAAAAAGUAAUGAGAGUUGGGGACCGUUUGAGCAGGCAGGAUGAGCGAUAAGCUAACCUGUCAUGGCCACAAAGGCACAUAUCAUCAGUACAGAUACAGACAGGCCGCUGCCAUGGCCUUCUUCUUCGUCUUGCUCCUCGCCGCCCAUGGCGCGGCCCCUGCUCUUGGCUUCACGCGGAGCGACUUCCCGCCGGACUUCGUCUUCGGCGCCGCCACCUCCGCGUACCAGGUAACCGUGCAUUUGUUUCCCUUGGUCAGCUGGUUUCUCUGUUAAUUUGCUCUGUUUUUUUAUGCAGUAUGAGGGCGCCGUGGCUGAGGACGGCAGGAGCCCAAGCAUCUGGGACACCUUCACUCACAUUGGUAAUCAACGAACUUGUCGGUUUUGUGCAGGUGUUGAUCAAAUCUGUUUCCAAAACAAAACAAAAUCUGCUUGCCUCUGAAUGACAGGGAAAAUGGCGGACAAAAGCACAGGGGACGUCGCUUCUGACGGGUACCACAAGUACAAGGUAAUCACGGUGAAAGUUUACAUGGCCGACAUGGAUGAUAACCUGAACAUUCUGUGGAAGGGAAAAAAAAUGUCCGAUUGUUGUUUGUUUCAGAUUAUACUAAUCCUGGGCAGUAUCAUCCGACAUUUCAGGAUGAUGUCAAGCUCAUGGCUGACACUAACCUGGAGGCUUACAGAUUCUCCAUCUCCUGGCCAAGGCUUAUUCCAAGUAUAAAAGCUUUCCACAAUAUCUCUACUGCUGUAUAAAAUGAAUUUGCACGGACAAUAAUAACUGAUCUUUGGCUUGCAGAUGGGAGGGGAGCUGUCAAUCCAAAGGGGUUAGAGUACUACAACAACCUUAUAAAUGAGCUGGUGAAACAUGGUAAGCUUAUUUAGAGUAAAAUAGCUUAUAAAUUCGAAUAUACUGACAAACUUUUUCAUCUUUCAACAAUAUACUACUCCUUCUGUAAAGAAAUAUAGUGAUCUAAACACUCUUAUAUUUCUUUACGGAGGGAGUACAUGAGAAGCUGCGGAAAUCUACCAUAGUUUUCUAAAAAAUAUUCGUUCCUUUAUUCUUCACUAUCUGAACCACAAUGUCCUUGCUGUUUAGGGAUUCAAAUCCAUGUGAUGCUUUACCAUCUCGAUUUCCCGCAAGUUUUGGAUGAUGAAUAUGGAGGAUGGUUAAGCCCUUGAGUUGUGUAAGAACCUGUAAUUUUUCCAUUGUGGUGAUGAAAUUUCUCAAAAUCUGAAAUUGAUCAACCUUUUUUGGAAUUUAGAUCAUUGAGGUCGUCUAUGCAAAAUUAUGUGCAGAUAAUUGAAUGAUCCCUACUUUCUCAGUUACAUAUUUCCUAACAGGUGGUACUGCAAAAUGCAGGGAGGAUUUCACGGCAUUUGCAGAUGUAUGCUUUAGAGAGUUUGGAGACAGGGUUUCCUUUUGGACUACGAUCAGCGAACCUAAUGUCGUCCCAGCCGACUCUUACGGUAGUGGAAAAUUUCCACCCGGGCGUUGCUCUGAUCCUUUUGGGCGAACAAAAUGUACCGCGGGGAACUCAACCGUGGAACCGUACAUAGCAGCUCAUAACAUGAUACUGGCACAUGCAUCUGUUACUAGACUUUACAGAGAAAAAUAUCGAGUGAGUUAUCUUGUGCCAAAUAUUAACAACUCUUUUUUGCCGGCAGAUUUAAGUUGUAAUCUAAGAUUAAUUUUGAAACACUAGUAUUGUCAAACCAAUCCAGAAGAAAGUACUUGUUAACUGCAUAAUUUACUACGGAGUCUUCAUGAUUGCAAUUUUUUUGUAUAAUAUUAUAUUUUCUAUGUUUUAGAAACAAUAUUUGUAUGCUAACAAAAAUAUUCUUGUGUGUAGGCCGUGCAAAUGGGAGUUGUUGGCAUAAAUGUUUACUCCCAUUGGACUUAUCCUUUGACGAACUCUACUCUUGAUUUAGCAGCAAACAAAAGAUAUCAGGACUUCCUGUUCGGUUUGUAUGCUGUUUUGACUCUUACCUUUGCUUCUAGAUUCUGAAAUUAAACGUGUAACAAACAUGCAGCUAACCAAUCAAUUUGUGAUAUUUCGUAGGAUACUAGAACCCUUGGUGUUCGGAGAUUACCCCCGAGUGAUAAAGACGAAUGCUGGUUCCCGCCUUCCAUCCUUCACAAAACUACAAUCUGAAUUUGUCAAGGGUGCUAUUGAUUUCAUAGGAAUAAAUCACUACUAUUCUGUCUAUGCGAGCGAUCGUCCUCUAAAGAAUGGUGUUCGCGACUAUGCAGCAGACAUGUCAGUUUACAAGAGAGGUAAGAAAAUUUUAUAUUUGCAUUGGCGUAUUGCUCCAUCAUUGUUCAUGAGUUUAGCGGCUAAAAUUGGGAAUUUGACUCAUUUAUCUAACACAACUUGUUAAGGCAUAUAGAAAUGUUUGUUUUUUGCGAUGGGUGAUAGAAAUGUGUUAACAGAUGUACUGACCAAAUAGUGUAUCGAAGCUUUCGAAACAUAUACUAACAAGUUAUUUGCUUCUUUGAUGCAGCUUCUAGAACAGACCCGGCAGUAAGUGAGGUAAAGUUUUCCGAUAUUGACUGAUAAAUAUGCUACUAGCUUCAGCUGUUUUGGACAUAAAGUAUAGGUGAAUUAGGAAUUCUGACUCAUACAGUAAGCAAGCAAUCUUAAUUGUGCCCAUUUUGCGAGCUGUGACAAAAAGAUGCUACUACUUUUUAUUUUGAAUGCAGGAUGUGCCAACAGCAUUUCCAGAUGACCCAAAAGGAUUACAAUUUGUGUUGCAGUACCUGGCAAAAGUCUAUGGUGACCUGCCCAUUUAUGUCCAAGAGAAUGGCAAGUCGAUCUUGUUUCUGAUCACUACAAUCUCCAAUAUUUUUAUCAAGCUCUCAUCUUAAAUAUCCGAUUCAGUAGAAUUUGAUAAAAUUAUGUCGAUGUGUUAUGCUUCUAGUCCAUUCUGUCUGAUGAGACCUGUCUUCUACCACGUCCUUCCUCUCUACAGGUAAGGCAUCUACCAACGACACUCUCGAUGACACUGACAGGGUCAAAUACUUGAAGAGCUACAUAGGGAGCACACUGGCGGCAUUAAGGUUAGUCAUUCAAACAAACCCACGAGAAAUGCAGUUGCAGGCACUGUAGAAUUUUCAGGGCUCAGUUACCAUGAUGCGGUUUUCGCUCUGCAGAACCGGAGUCAAUGUGAAAGGUUACUUUGCGUGGAACUUCAUGGACAUGUUCGAGUUCCUCGCAGGGUACAAUACACGGUACGGCCUGUACCGUGUCGACUUCGACGAUGAGGCGCGGCCAAGGGAGGCCAGGCUCUCUGCUUGCUGGUACUCCAGCUUUCUGGAAAACAAUGGCAUCCAUUUUCGGAGCGAGCUCGAUAAUAAAGGAUCCCAUGCUCAACAGUGAGUUAUAUAAUCAGAUAAAUUGAGCUGUUCAUUAAUCUAGUCCCAUGCAUGGGGAAACACUGGAUUCAUCUGGGUGAAAGGAAUUGGUGUAAGUAAAUAAUUUGCUUUUUCUAUAUGUAUGAUGGGAGUUAAUUGCAGAAAACGACCAGAUUUUCAGGAUACACAGGUUCACAGAUUUGAUACGAAACCCCCCUAAUUCUCAGCCUAAUCAUUUACAAAAAAAAAAAC